Phasianus colchicus (ring-necked pheasant) is the source of this 480-nucleotide non-coding RNA. The record is from RefSeq and is a predicted model, not a curated record. NCBI's taxonomy places the organism in Eukaryota, Metazoa, Chordata, Aves, Galliformes, Phasianidae.
UCACAAUCUGUUGCCAUGGAAAGGGCCAUAAUAUCAAACAAUUACAGGACUGAUGGCAUAAGAACAGCACUAUUAGGGACCCCAGGGACAGCUUGUGUCCAAGGUCCAUUACAAUCAAGAUAGCUACAGACCAAAAAUUUUAUGAAAACUGACAGCUUUGUGGAGCAAAGAGAAGUCACAAACUUUCUUGAACCUUACUGAAGGAAUAACUACUGCGUGGUUCAACACUUGGUUGACCUCAGAGUUGACACUGAAUCUCCAGGUUUAGAAACAGAACUGUAGACCUGCAAUCUGUGGAUCACACGUGGAAAUCUCUAAAUUUACUGUGAGUGGCUCCAGUCUGAAUACUUGCUCAACUGAAAACGUUUUGGCUGAAAAAGUGCAUUGUGAUGCUUUAAAUACCUCUCACAAGUAUUUGAAUCCAAAUAUUUUCUAUUUUUACAAAUGCUCAUCAGUUCUCUGACAAGAUUUGUAUUUAAU